Molecule: ribosomal RNA, 539 nt
Filed under: uncultured archaeon
Lineage: Archaea
Description: bacterial SSU rRNA
Rfam family: Archaeal small subunit ribosomal RNA
Source: RNAcentral
CGGGGUGCAGCAGGCGCGAAACCUUUUCAAUGCGCGCAAGCGUGAGAAGGGAAUUCCAAGUGCUUAAGUUUUACUUAGGCUUUUGCCAAGUGUAAAAAGCUUGGCGAAUAAGGGGUGGGUAAGACUGGUGCCAGCCGCCGCGGUAACACCAGCGCCUCGAGUGGGGAUCGCGAUUAUUGGGUCUAAAGCGUCCGUAGCAGGCUCCGUAAAUGCUUUGUGAAAUCGGCAGGCAUAACCUGUCGGCGUGCAGAGUAGACUGCGGGGCUCGAGACCGGGAGAUGUCAGAAGUAUUCCUAGGGUACCGGUAAAAUGGGUUAAUCCUGGGAGGACUACCGAUGGCGAAGGCAUCUGACAAGAACGGUUCUGACUGUGAGGGACGAAAGCUAGGGGAGCGGAACGGAUUAGAUACCCGAGUAGUCCUAGCUGUAAACGCUGUGAGCAAGGUAUUGCGCCUCCCACGAGGAUGCGCAGUGUCGAAACGAAGGUGUUAAGCUCACCACCAGGGAAGUACGGUCGCAAGGCUGAAACUUUAAGGAAUU